GACGAACGCUGGCGGCGUGCCUAAUACAUGCAAGUUGAGCGAUGAAGCUUGGUGCUUGCACCAAUUUGAAGAGCAGCGAACGGGUGAGUAACGCGUGGGGAAUCUGCCUUUGAGCGGGGGACAACAUUUGGAAACGAAUGCUAAUACCGCAUAACAACUUAAAACAUAAGUUUUAAGUUUGAAAGAUGCAAUUGCAUCACUCAAAGAUGAUCCCGCGUUGUAUUAGCUAGUUGGUGAGGUAAAGGCUCACCAAGGCGAUGAUACAUAGCCGACCUGAGAGGGUGAUCGGCCACAUUGGGACUGAGACACGGCCCAAACUCCUACGGGAGGCAGCAGUAGGGAAUCUUCGGCAAUGGACGAAAGUCUGACCGAGCAACGCCGCGGGAGUGAAGAAGGUUUUCGGAUCGUAAAACUCUGUUGGUAGAGAAGAACGUUGGUGAGAGUGGAAAGCUCAUCAAGUGACGGUAACUACCCAGAAAGGGACGGCUAACUACGUG
This 497-nucleotide ribosomal RNA is filed under the name uncultured bacterium. RNAcentral describes it as "partial 16S ribosomal RNA". It matches the Rfam family "Bacterial small subunit ribosomal RNA", at positions 28 to 507 of the family's 1533-position model. The record is from RNAcentral.